UGAGUUAGCCAGACAAUCGCAGGGGGGAAACCUCAUGAGGAAAGUCCGAGCAUCACAGGGCAGGGUACCAGUUAACGGCUGGCGAAGGCGACUUCAGAGAUAGUGCAACAGAAAUAAACCGCAGAGUUUACUCUGCAAGGAUGGAAAGGUGGGGUAAGAGCCCACCGCACUUCUGGCAACAGAGGUGGCUAUGUAAACCUUACCUGAUGCAAGAGAGAGAGUGUUAUCGAUUGCCCGUCGGCUCUCACAAUCGCUUGAGUAUAUAGGCGACUAUAUGCCUAGACAGAUGAUUGUCAAAUACAGAACUCGGCUUAUAGA
This 318-nucleotide RNase P RNA is filed under the name Clostridia bacterium. RNAcentral's name for it is "partial RNase P RNA component class A". It matches the Rfam family "Bacterial RNase P class A". From Rfam's summary of the family: Ribonuclease P (RNase P) is a ubiquitous endoribonuclease, found in archaea, bacteria and eukarya as well as chloroplasts and mitochondria. Its best characterised activity is the generation of mature 5'-ends of tRNAs by cleaving the 5'-leader elements of precursor-tRNAs. Cellular RNase Ps are ribonucleoproteins. The record is from RNAcentral. Lineage: Bacteria; Bacillati; Bacillota; Clostridia.